UUCGUCUAGAGGCCUAGGACACCGCCCUUUCACGGCGGUAACAGGGGUUCGAAUCCCCUAGGGGAUGCCA
This 70-nucleotide transfer RNA is filed under the name Shewanella algae. RNAcentral describes it as "tRNA-Glu". It matches the Rfam family "tRNA". Rfam says of the family: Transfer RNA (tRNA) molecules are approximately 80 nucleotides in length. The record is from RNAcentral. RNAcentral also lists the same sequence under 1 other name. Lineage: Bacteria; Pseudomonadati; Pseudomonadota; Gammaproteobacteria; Alteromonadales; Shewanellaceae.